Molecule: long non-coding RNA, 308 nt
Organism: Cyprinus carpio carpio
Lineage: Eukaryota; Metazoa; Chordata; Actinopteri; Cypriniformes; Cyprinidae
Source: Ensembl
CUCAGACUUAGUGAUGUGUAGGGAGUGUCCGGUCACGGCCAUAAAUUUUUACAGCUUCUUUAAGGUUCCUGUUAGCCUGGCUAACAAGCUUUCUCCUUGCCAAGUCAUCAGUUUAGUAAGAGCAUCCUGAUCUCUGCAGUGUCAUGGUUUUCCAUGUUGUCUCCACAUUUACGGUCUUCACAUACACCUGGAUAUACUGUCUGCACUUCUCACCAGCUGUGUCAGUAAGCCACAUCCUACUUCCACAAGAGAUCACAUCAUUUCCUGUUUAUUCAGCCUCCAGGCAAAGAAGCUGAGCAAUCUGAUUG